UGUAAGCCUGUGAAGGUGGCCUGUGAGGGUUGCUGGAGGUAUCAGAAGUGCGAAUGCUGACAUAAGUAACGAUAAAGCGGGUGAAAAGCCCGCUCGCCGGAAGACCAAGGGUUCCUGUCCAACGUUAAUCGGGGCAGGGUGAGUCGACCCCUAAGGCGAGGCCGAAAGGCGUAGUCGAUGGGAAACGGGUUAAUAUUCCCGUACUUGGUGUUACUGCGAAGGGGGGACGGAGAAGGCUAUGUUGGCCGGGCGACGGUUGUCCCGGUUUAAGCGUGUAGGCUGGUUUUCCAGGCAAAUCCGGAAAAUCAAGGCUGAGGCGUGAUGACGAGGCACUACGGUGCUGAAGCAACAAAUGCCCUGCUUCCAGGAAAAGCCUCUAAGCAUCAGGUAACAUCAAAUCGUACCCCAAACCGACACAGGUGGUCAGGUAGAGAAUACCAAGGCGCUUGAGAGAACUCGGGUGAAGGAACUAGGCAAAAUGGUGCCGUAACUUCGGGAGAAGGCACGCUGACAC
RNAcentral lists this ribosomal RNA (514 nucleotides) under Salmonella enterica subsp. enterica serovar Kentucky. Its description in RNAcentral is "partial 23S ribosomal RNA". It matches the Rfam family "Bacterial large subunit ribosomal RNA", at positions 1242 to 1757 of the family's 2925-position model. Lineage: Bacteria; Pseudomonadati; Pseudomonadota; Gammaproteobacteria; Enterobacterales; Enterobacteriaceae. The record is from RNAcentral.